GCCCGCGCCGCCGCCGCACGCCACGCUGCCGCUCACCGUCGAUAAGCCAUCAUGCGUGUGCAGCUACGAAGGAACGAAUGCGCCCGGCACCGAAGAUGCCGACGACUAUCGAAGCGAAUGCGAAAACUGCAAAUCCGCUAGCAGUUCAAGAUGGGUGUUAGAGGAAGGUUGGGAGGCGGAGGAGGAAGACGGCACGCAGACACUACAGCGCCGCGCGCCGCCC
Long non-coding RNA from Ostrinia furnacalis (Asian corn borer), 223 nucleotides. RefSeq lists it as uncharacterized. The transcript has 3 exons. The record is from RefSeq and is a predicted model, not a curated record. NCBI's taxonomy places the organism in Eukaryota, Metazoa, Arthropoda, Insecta, Lepidoptera, Crambidae.